GGCCUCUGGAAUUCUGAGAACUAAUUUGCUAUUCGGUGACAUAAGAGGGGGAGUGCGCUUUGCUUUCCUGGGGUCUGGGGCUAAUUCCUCCUCUCUUACCCAUAAACUCAGCUCCUGGAGCUAAAUUACACGAAAGGGAGCGAGAGGUUCGAACCGUUGGGAAAAGUCUGUUAUAUAUACUAGGUUUAGAAGCGAGUCAGAGAAAAAACAAACACCACAGCUCUUUGCAGCUAGAAUAGUAGGCACCACGAGAAAAAUAUUUGCCAAGCAGUUUUCGAAGCCUAUCUGAAGCUGGCUUGAUGGCAGGGAGAGCUGGAGAGCAGAAGAAUGUGCAGAGGGAGGGAGUGCUUGGUACUUUUCCAUUCACAUCUCCACAGUGGCUUUUCUUGUUUAUUUCAGCCUCCACCCGCAGGAACCUUUCUGCUGCUUGAAAUUCGAGUCAUUAAACUGUUCCCUGUGGUCAGACUACAGAUGUUUGGUGCAUGUUUCCUACAUGUCGGUGUCUAUGUAGCAUAUGUACCUAUAGAGACACACACACAAACGUGUAACUCCACAGGGGCAUAGUGUGAGGUUGGGGCGGGGGGAGACACUGGAUAGGUUGCCAAAAAAGCCUUUGUUUCUAAUUACAGUUCUGCCUGGAAGUCCUUAUGGGACCUGGAGCAAAACCACUUGUCAAGACUCAGUUUCCUUGACUAUGUGAUGGAAUAACCCAGAUGAUAUGCAUGAUGUCUAUUUGUUCAAAAUUCUAUACCCAUGUAUCUAAAUGCAUAUUUACAUAACUUUAAGGUGGGGAGGGAGAGAUGGAAAGGAGCUUUGUGUACCUGGGAUGGGGGAAAGGGUUAAAAUUUAAACUUCUAAGUAAAGAAGGCAAUCCCAGAAUUCUCACCUCUAUCAAUUUUUAACCAGUUGUAGACCAAAGUCUGGGAUUAUGCUGAGUUGGGUCCAAAAGCCAACUGAAGAUUUUAAAUGUUAGGAGUUGGAAAAGGCAGUUUCUAAGACCUUGUACUUUUGAUCUCCAGCAUUCAGAAUCAAAUGUGACAAUUCCCAAGUGUCUUUUCUGCCCUAGAAUUCUUCUGUAGUUUUGUUUGUUUUUCGAAACUGUCCUAGUUAAUGAUAGAAAGGAGAUGAUACUUGUAAACUGGGCAGGCUUUAAGCCACAGAGCCCCAUGUGGGUGUGAAAAAUAUGUCAUAAUGUGGAAAGAGAGAGAGAGAGAGAGAGAGAGAGAGAGAGAGAGAGAGAGAGAGAAACCUAGAGAGAGAGAUUCCUAGUAAGAAACUUAGAGGUAACCCAGCCAUCACUGCAUUGAAGGUAAUUAUUUGAAGUCAGAGAAAAUUACAGAUGAGGAGUUUGCCUUUAUAAAAAAAAAAAAA
Molecule: long non-coding RNA, 1371 nt
Organism: Myotis davidii
Lineage: Eukaryota; Metazoa; Chordata; Mammalia; Chiroptera; Vespertilionidae
Exons: 2
Source: RefSeq, a predicted model, not a curated record